AGGGUGUUAAGUUAUUAAGACUAUGAUAUUUCAAGUAUUAAAGAGGUAGAUGCCACACCUUG
Molecule: transfer RNA, 62 nt
Filed under: Marcia japonica
Lineage: Eukaryota; Metazoa; Mollusca; Bivalvia; Venerida; Veneridae
Description: tRNA-Trp
Source: RNAcentral